AAACCUUUCCAGCAAUGGAUGUCUUGGCU
This 29-nucleotide ribosomal RNA is filed under the name Eimeria bovis. RNAcentral's name for it is "partial 5.8S rRNA". Lineage: Eukaryota; Apicomplexa; Conoidasida; Eucoccidiorida; Eimeriidae. The record is from RNAcentral.